Molecule: ribosomal RNA, 468 nt
Filed under: uncultured bacterium
Lineage: Bacteria
Description: partial 16S ribosomal RNA
Rfam family: Bacterial small subunit ribosomal RNA
Source: RNAcentral
GACGAACGCUGGCGGCGUGCUUAACACAUGCAAGUCGAACGGAAAGGCCCUGCUUUUUUGGGGUGCUCGAGUGGCGAACGGGUGAGUAACACGUGAGUAACCUGCCCUUGCCUUUGGGAUAACUUACGGAAACUGGGGCUAAUACCUGAUAGGAGCUCCUGCUGCAUGGUGGGGGUUGGAAAGUUUCGGCGGUUGGGGUUGGUCUCGCGGCUUAUCAGCUUGUUGGUGGGGUAGUGGCUUACCAAGGCUUUGACGGGUAGCCGGCCUGAGAGGGUGACCGGCCACAUUGGGACUGAGAUACGGCCCAGACUCCUACGGGAGGCAGCAGUGGGGAAUAUUGCACAAUGGGCGGAAGCCUGAUGCAGCAACGCCGCGUGCGGGAUGACGGCCUUCGGGUUGGAAACCGCUUUCGCCUGUGACGAAGCGGGAGUGACGGUAAUGGGUAAAGAAGCACCGGCUAACUACGUG